This 292-nucleotide ribosomal RNA is filed under the name uncultured bacterium. Its description in RNAcentral is "partial 16S ribosomal RNA". It matches the Rfam family "Bacterial small subunit ribosomal RNA", at positions 505 to 796 of the family's 1533-position model. The record is from RNAcentral.
GUGCCAGCAGCCGCGGUAAUACGGAGGAUCCAAGCGUUAUCCGGAUUUAUUGGGUUUAAAGGGUGCGUAGGCGGUCCUAUAAGUCAGUGGUGAAAGACGGCAGCUUAACUGUCGCAGUGCCUUUGAUACUGUAGGACUUGAAUCUAUUUGAAGUGGGCGGAAUAAGACAAGUAGCGGUGAAAUGCAUAGAUAUGUCUUAGAACUCCGAUUGCGAAGGCAGCUCACUAAGUUAGUAUUGACGCUGAUGCACGAAAGCGUGGGGAUCAAACAGGAUUAGAUACCCCCGUAGUCC